RNAcentral lists this long non-coding RNA (553 nucleotides) under Homo sapiens (human). RNAcentral describes it as "lncAB167.1". Lineage: Eukaryota; Metazoa; Chordata; Mammalia; Primates; Hominidae. The record is from RNAcentral.
AACAUUCUUUCUUCCUGGAGGCGGAGGGGGGAAAUCAUCUGAGGCUACAGUAAGUUCAAUCUGAAGUCAAAACCAACCAAUUUGUAUUCAGAAGCAGCAAAAAUACUGGUUAUGGGCUGGGAGGAGCCACAUGUUGGCUUUCUGAGUCCACUGCCAAGGAACAGAUCCAGAGCAAUGCAUUUCAAUUGCUUUGAAAAAUGGCUAAGUUCCAUUACAUACCACCACUAAAGAAGAUACCUCAUUGAUGGAGCUUUUCACCAUGAUAGAGGGCGUCUUGCAUUGGUUCACAAUGGCCUGUUGCUUUUUAGCCUUCAGUUGGUUUAGGGGGAAAUUGCUCAACCUAUGAGACCUGCUCAAAUUCAUACUGUUCUGGUUUUGCUUUGGAAUUCUUUGUCCAGUAAAUUAGCUCUUCAUAACGCAGUUCCACCAUUUCUUAUCCAGCAUAGAUUCAUUCUGCCCUUGACAGCUGGCUAGGUGUGUGUGUAUGUGAGUAGGGGUGCUAUUGAUUGGCACAUAUUGUCCCCCCUGGAGUUUAGGGGUGGCAGAAAGCUUU